RNAcentral lists this ribosomal RNA (301 nucleotides) under uncultured bacterium. RNAcentral describes it as "partial 16S ribosomal RNA". It matches the Rfam family "Bacterial small subunit ribosomal RNA", at positions 509 to 808 of the family's 1533-position model. The record is from RNAcentral.
CAGUAGCGCGGUAAUGCGUAGGUGGCAAGCGUUGUCCGGAAUUAUUGGGGGUAAAGGGCUCGCAGGCGGUUGCUUAAGUCUGAUGUGAAGGCCCCCGGCUCAACCGGGGAGGGUCAUUGGAAACUGGGAAACUUGAGUGCAGAAGAGGAGAGUGGAAUUCCACGUGUAGCGGUGAAAUGCGUAGAGAUGUGGAGGAACACCAGUGGCGAAGGCGACUCUCUGGUCUGUAACUGACGCUGAGGAGCGAAAGCGUGGGGGGCGAACAGGAUUAGAUACCCGCGUAGUCCCUGUCUCUUAUACA